UACAGAGGUCUCGAGCGUUGUUCGGAUUCAUUGGGCGUAAAGGGUGCGUAGGUGGCGCUGUAAGUCGGGUGUGAAAUCCUGGGGCUUAACCCCGGAACUGCAUUCGAUACUGCAGUGCUUGAGGACUGGAGAGGAGACUGGAAUUCAUGGUGUAGCAGUGAAAUGCGUAGAGAUCAUGAGGAAGACCAGUGGCGAAGGCGGGUCUCUGGACAGUUCCUGACGCUGAGGCACGAAGGUCAGGGGAGCAAACGGG
RNAcentral lists this ribosomal RNA (253 nucleotides) under uncultured bacterium. RNAcentral's name for it is "partial 16S ribosomal RNA". It matches the Rfam family "Bacterial small subunit ribosomal RNA", at positions 524 to 776 of the family's 1533-position model. The record is from RNAcentral.